Small nuclear RNA from Pygocentrus nattereri (red-bellied piranha), 104 nucleotides. The record is from Ensembl. Lineage: Eukaryota; Metazoa; Chordata; Actinopteri; Characiformes; Serrasalmidae.
GUCGCUACGGCAGCACAUAUACUAAAAUUGAAUCGAUACAGAGAAGAUUAGCAUGGCCCCUGUGAAAGGAUGAUACGCAAAUCCAUGAAGCGCUCCAUAUUUUU